This is a non-coding RNA of Pelobates cultripes (western spadefoot toad), 333 nucleotides long. The record is from the annotation of a GenBank genome assembly. NCBI's taxonomy places the organism in Eukaryota, Metazoa, Chordata, Amphibia, Anura, Pelobatidae.
CUGCAAUGUACUUUACUUGGGCUUCUCAGAAAAAGAACUCCAUCGCCUUCAGACUGUACAAAAUGCAGCAGCCGGACUACUGACCAAUCAAACUCGCUCAUGCCACAUAACACCUGUUCUCCACUCUCUGCAUUGGCUUCCAAUUAAAUGGCAAACAUGUUUUAAAAUUUGCCUGCUAACCUUCAAAGCCUUAAACAAUCAAGACCCACAGUACCUGAAAGAGCUCCUGAGUCCUGACACCCUACAUUCCAUCCCGAUCACUUCGGUCAGCCAGCAAAACCCUCCUGUUCGUGCCAAGAAUAAAGACAGACUUAGGUUCCAUGGCAUUCAGCC